GUUAGAUACAGUACCGAAAGCUGCAAACUUUUGGUCUAAGAAAAGAUUCUUUCUGAUGU
RNAcentral lists this transfer RNA (59 nucleotides) under Salpa thompsoni. RNAcentral describes it as "tRNA-Cys". Lineage: Eukaryota; Metazoa; Chordata; Thaliacea; Salpida; Salpidae. The record is from RNAcentral.